CAGGUCUUAAGAAGUCCCUCUUUGAAAUUUCGAUAGGGCACUGUAAGAUACGGAUCGAGUAGAUUACCCGAACAUUCCACAAAGAACGAAAGGAGUAGAAAUACUGGAAGACUGAGAUCCCAAAGUCAAAAUUUACAGGAAUACAGAAAGAUGAAGCAUCUUUGCCUUGUGUUCGCGAUGUUGAUACUUUGCAUUCAAGUGUCGGAUGCGGCAGCGACCACAACGGCUUCCGCGGGUGGAGGUGGAAACAGCGGUGGAAGCGGAGGCGGCGGUGGCGGUGGAGCUGGCUGUCUGGUUGCGGGUUUACUUCCCCUUGUGAUCGCCAUAACAACGAGCGCGCAUCACCUUUUCAAGUAGUCAAGGCUGGUUGUCAGGGCGAUAAAGUUAUUCUGAUUCCUCGAAAACUUUAACAUUUAUCAUUAUCGUAUGUCAUAGAAAUACAGUUUAAUAGUCAAACACAUCAAAUAAUCUUUAUUCAUCAUGUGUUUACAUUCAUUUUAUAUGGAUGUAUUAUACACCAGUUCACUGUGAAAUGGAGGAAAAGAAACACCCCUUUAGGCCGGAAAUAGUGGAGCCCUCUUCCGGGUUAUGAUACAUUUCAAUGAGACGUUUAAAAGGCCACUGUGAGUCAUUUGCUUCUCGAAAUUCACGGAGUGUAUUGAAGAAAAUGAAUAAAUUUCUC
This is a long non-coding RNA of Mya arenaria, 682 nucleotides long. RefSeq lists it as uncharacterized. The transcript is spliced from 4 exons. Lineage: Eukaryota; Metazoa; Mollusca; Bivalvia; Myida; Myidae. The record is from RefSeq and is a predicted model, not a curated record.